CUUAUAUUGGGCACGGACAGAGGCGACUCCUCCUUUUUCCCCGCCGGGCCCUGAGAGAAGCAGUGGAGGUGUGAACGUCGUCCGGGAAUGAGAGAAAUCAUGCUUCUCCUUGGAAUGCUACAUCCCAUAACAUACUCUUUCAGUGAUGUGGUCCUCUGAUGGAUGUCUGGAUCAUUGGUGGUACUCAACUGAUAACUUGUAUCUGGCUGAUGUGACAAAACAGUAAAGCUGUGGAACAAUCUGGGCUGUGUAAAUGCACCAGAUUGACGAUGGAUGUCUUGACUAGGUCUGGGUGAAUCUUGUUUGUACAGAGUUGUCUGUGGUUACGACAUGCUGUAAAGGGUGGCCAAUUCUACAGUGGGAUAUGAAUGAAGGAAAACAUUCCAGAUGCUGGAGCUUUUUGUGUGAUUGUGCUGCUAGUGAUCCCAACAUCAAGAUUUGGGAAGAUUUGGAGAACAAGCUAUAUGACUGCACGAAGUUAUCAUCAUGAACAAUAUAUGGAGAGCUGCUGCAGUGCUAACCUUGUUUGUUGAUCAGGUCACACUGAGCCAUUCUGCCCUUCUAGGACUGGCUGAUCUGAUCAUCUUCAAUAACUGCAGAUUGCAACCAGAUGAAAGUGUUUUCUUUGGGUAAAGAAUGGGAAUCAAUUGAAUGAAUUUCUGCAAUGUGCUGUUUUUCUGAAACUUGGAAAAGAAAUAAACUAAGCAAAAGUA
Stegostoma tigrinum is the source of this 713-nucleotide long non-coding RNA. RefSeq lists it as uncharacterized. The transcript is spliced from 7 exons. Lineage: Eukaryota; Metazoa; Chordata; Chondrichthyes; Orectolobiformes; Stegostomatidae. The record is from RefSeq and is a predicted model, not a curated record.